UACGUAGGGGCGAGCGUUGUCCCGGAUUUACCUGGGCGUAAAGGGUGAGUAGGCGGUUGUAUAUGUCAGGUGUAAAAGGCUAUGGCUUAACCAUGGUUAGCACUUGAAACUGUACAACUUGAGUGCAGGAGAGGUAAGUGGAAUUCCUAGUGUAGCGGUGAAAUGCGUAGAUAUUAGGAGGAACACCAGUGGCGAAGGCGACUUACUGGACUGUAACUGACGCUGAGUCACGAAAGCGUGGGUAGCAAACAGGAUUAGAUACCCUGGUAGUCCCU
RNAcentral lists this ribosomal RNA (275 nucleotides) under uncultured prokaryote. RNAcentral's name for it is "partial 16S ribosomal RNA". It matches the Rfam family "Bacterial small subunit ribosomal RNA", at positions 524 to 798 of the family's 1533-position model. The record is from RNAcentral.